UACAGAGACUGCAAGCGUUAUUCGGAUUCACUGGGCGUAAAGGGUGCGCAGGCGGCCAAGUGUGUUAGGCGUGAAAGCCCGGGGCUUAACCCCGGAAUUGCACCUAAAACUACAUGGCUAGAGCAUUGGAGAGGGUAGCGGAAUUCACGGUGUAGCAGUGAAAUGCGUAGAUAUCGUGAGGAACACCAGAGGCGAAGGCGGCUACCUGGACAAUUGCUGACGCUCAGGCACGAAAGCGUGGGGAGCAAAAGGG
This 253-nucleotide ribosomal RNA is filed under the name uncultured bacterium. RNAcentral's name for it is "partial 16S ribosomal RNA". It matches the Rfam family "Bacterial small subunit ribosomal RNA", at positions 524 to 776 of the family's 1533-position model. RNAcentral also lists the same sequence under 1 other name. The record is from RNAcentral.